Molecule: ribosomal RNA, 478 nt
Filed under: uncultured bacterium
Lineage: Bacteria
Description: partial 16S ribosomal RNA
Rfam family: Bacterial small subunit ribosomal RNA
Source: RNAcentral
GAUGAACGCUAGCGGCAGGCCUAACACAUGCCAGUCGAGGGAGAAGCCCUUUCGGGGGCCGAAACCGGCGCACGGGUGCGUAACGCGUAUGCAACCUACCUUUCACAGGGGGAUAGCCCGAAGAAAUUUGGAUUAAUACCCCAUAAUAUUAUUGGAUGGCAUCAUUUGAUAAUUAAAACUGCGGUGGUGAAAGAUGGGCAUGCGUCCUAUUAGCUAGUUGGAGUGGUAACGGCACCCCAAGGCUACGAUAGGUAGGGGUCCUGAGAGGGAGAUCCCCCACACUGGUACUGAGACAGGGACCAGACUCCUCCGGGAGGCAGCAGUGAGGAAUAUUGGUCAAUGGUCGGAAGACUGAACCAGCCAUGCCGCGUGCAGGAAGAACGCCUUAUGGGUUGUAAACUGCUUUUAUAUGGGAAGAAUAAGGCGUACGUGUACGCUGAUGACGGUACCAUAUGAAUAAGCAUCGGCUAACUCCGUG